RNAcentral lists this long non-coding RNA (1261 nucleotides) under Cyanistes caeruleus (blue tit). RNAcentral describes it as "lncRNA (ENSCCEG00000013830.1)". The record is from RNAcentral. Lineage: Eukaryota; Metazoa; Chordata; Aves; Passeriformes; Paridae.
AUGCAGCAGCGGCUGGAAAGAGAUGUAUCAGUGACUUUUCCCCUUGCUGUGUUAUCAACAGUGCAGUCUUUUAAACCGUGGGGAGCUAAAUAUAAUUUAACAGAAACUGAGGCAUUGGCCUUAACAGUGCUAGGAAUUGGUGCAGCUACCAGAGAACAUGUGAGUAUAUGUAUAAGUGCUUUGGGCUUUUUCCUAAUUACUGUUUGUUUAAUGACUCUACUUCAUAACCUUUGGAGCAGGUGCCAAAAUUCCUUUACGUGAAGUUAAACACUAAAGCUGAAAAUUACUUGGUCUCUGUUUCAGCUACUCCCUACCAAGGUUGUCUCUCUUCACCUUAUCUCCUUGGUUCAUUCUUUCCACAUGCAAUGUCUGUGAACAACCUGGAAAUAUCUGAUUUAAUUUUUCACUAUUAGUAUUAAAGUAAUUGCUAAAAUUUCAUAUUUCUAACAGCAGUGAGAAAUAUGAAAGAAUGCAUCCUGUGAUAGUGAUUGGCCAUAUAUGGAGGAUAGAGAAGGAAGGUACAAAGAUGAAGUAAGUUUAUGCUGCUCUGUGGAGCACACUGCAGGUCCAAGAGACAGCCUGGAUAACAUCUGUGCAGAGCAGUGCGGGCUGGACAAUGUGGUCUGUAGAGCACUGGAGGGCUGAUGAAGCUGGUGAAUCCUGUAGCCCAAGGAUGAUUACCCAGCUCCCAUUUUCAUUUUGCUCUGUGGUUUUGGUGCUUCAGACAGUGUUUUGCUCAGUACAGCAGUGCAUGUGUAGACAUGACCCUGCAGUGGCUAUAUGAAGGAGUGAGGUUUGGAGUGGAAAGGUUCCAGGCUUCUCUAAUUGUACCAACUCUACUUGUGCUGCCGUAACUCAAAUGUAAAUAUCGAAAUUCCAGGAAAUCCUGCUGUUAGCAAGCUGCAAGUCACCCUCUCGGUGGCACCAGUGUCACUGCCAGGGGUGCAGGAGGGCUGGAGCUGGGAGCAUGGCUGGCAGGGCAGGUCUGAGGGAACAGCCAGGACUGAGAAUGCUACCAGACAAGAUUAUGGUGCCGAGACAGCUCUGAGGGCAAGGUGUGUCCCGGGGACCAGGGUCAGACAGAGCCCAGGGCCUGCCAGCCUGGCCAUGGUGAUGAAGUCAGGCCCAGGUCAAGCUCAGCCUGCGGGUUCAGGGCCCGGAUCAGUCCACGGCCCUGCACAGCUGCCAUUACCCCUGGGGUGGCUCCGGCAGGGACUGGGGCCAUGUCCUGAGCUGAGAUGGCCCCCAGGGCAGGGCUGAU